GACGAACGCUGGCGGCGUGCUUAACACAUGCAAGUCGAACGCAAAGGCCCUGCUCUUGUGGGUCUCUCGUGUGGCGCAAGGGGGAGUAUCACGCGUGUAUCCUCCCCCUGACAUUGGGAGAACUUUAGGAAAAUGGGGCUCUUAUCCCGCAUGAGCUCUUGCUGCGCAGUGUGCGUUAGAAAGUGUCGGCGGUUGGGGAUGGACUCGCGGCUUAUCAGCUUGUUUGUUGGGUAGUGGCGUACCAGGGCUUUGACGGAUAGCCGGCCUGAGAGGGUGACCGGCCACAUUGGGACUAAGAUACGGCCCAGACGCCAACGGGAGGCAGCAGUGGGGAAUAUUGCGCAAUGGGCGGAAGUCUGAUGCAGCAACGCCGCGUGCGGGAUGACGGGCUUCGGGUUGUAAACCGCUUUCGACUGUGACGAAGAGAGAGUGACGGUAAUGGGUAAAAAAGCAACGGCUAACUACGUG
This 468-nucleotide ribosomal RNA is filed under the name uncultured bacterium. RNAcentral's name for it is "partial 16S ribosomal RNA". It matches the Rfam family "Bacterial small subunit ribosomal RNA", at positions 28 to 507 of the family's 1533-position model. The record is from RNAcentral.